ACAUGCGACCAUACCCACUGGAGAACUCGGGAUCCCGUCCGCUCUCCCAUCGAUAAACCAGCGAGGGCCGGAGUAGUAGUUGGGUCGGAGACGACCAGCGAAUGCCCGGUGUUGCAUGUA
This 120-nucleotide ribosomal RNA is filed under the name Colletotrichum spaethianum. Lineage: Eukaryota; Fungi; Ascomycota; Sordariomycetes; Glomerellales; Glomerellaceae. The record is from RNAcentral. RNAcentral also lists the same sequence under 2 other names.